AAGGGGACUAUAUUUACCGAAAAUUGAGGGGCGUUUCCGAGAACUAAUUAAACCUAACCAAACUUUCAGGAAACCCACCGUAGAGAAAAAACUUCCAAAAUUGUUUCACUUAGACACAUAUUUUGUUCAUAUCACGUUCAUUAAACAUGAUAGUAUAGCAUUUUUAUUCUAUACGUUUAUUAUUAUAUGUCUGUUCAGUAAAAAUACAGUUAAACAGAAUCAUAUU
Molecule: non-coding RNA, 226 nt
Organism: Cinara cedri
Lineage: Eukaryota; Metazoa; Arthropoda; Insecta; Hemiptera; Aphididae
Source: the annotation of a GenBank genome assembly